RNAcentral lists this ribosomal RNA (467 nucleotides) under uncultured bacterium. RNAcentral describes it as "partial 16S ribosomal RNA". It matches the Rfam family "Bacterial small subunit ribosomal RNA", at positions 28 to 506 of the family's 1533-position model. The record is from RNAcentral.
GACGAACGCUGGCGGCGUGCUUAACACAUGCAAGUCGAACGGAAAGGCCCUGCUUUUGUGGGGUGCUCGAGUGGCGAACGGGUGAGUAACACGUGAGUAACCUGCCCUUGACUUUGGGAUAACUUCAGGAAACUGGGGCUAAUACCGGAUAGGAGCUCCUGCUGCAUGGUGGGGGUUGGAAAGUUUCGGCGGUUGGGGAUGGACUCGCGGCUUAUCAGCUUGUUGGUGGGGUAGUGGCUUACCAAGGCUUUGACGGGUAGCCGGCCUGAGAGGGUGACCGGCCACAUUGGGACUGAGAUACGGCCCAGACUCCUACGGGAGGCAGCAGUGGGGAAUAUUGCACAAUGGGCGGAAGCCUGAUGCAGCAACGCCGCGUGCGGGAUGACGGCCUUCGGGUUGUAAACCGCCUUCGCCUGUGACGAAGCGUGAGUGACGGUAAUGGGUAAAGAAGCACCGGCGAACUACGU